Molecule: ribosomal RNA, 484 nt
Filed under: Escherichia coli
Lineage: Bacteria; Pseudomonadati; Pseudomonadota; Gammaproteobacteria; Enterobacterales; Enterobacteriaceae
Description: bacterial LSU rRNA
Rfam family: Bacterial large subunit ribosomal RNA
Source: RNAcentral
GGGUUGUGAGGUUAAGCGACUAAGCGUACACGGUGGAUGCCCUGGCAGUCAGAGGCGAUGAAGGACGUGCUAAUCUGCGAUAAGCGUCGGUAAGGUGAUAUGAACCGUUAUAACCGGCGAUUUCCGAAUGGGGAAACCCAGUGUGAUUUGUCACACUAUCAUUAACUGAAUCCAUAGGUUAAUGAGGCGAACCGGGGGAACUGAAACAUCUAAGUACCCCGAGGAAAAGAAAUCAACCGAGAUUCCCCCAGUAGCGGCGAGCGAACGGGGAGGAGCCCAGAGCCUGAAUCAGUGUGUGUGUUAGUGGAAGCGUCUGGAAAGGCGCGCGAUACAGGGUGACAGCCCCGUACACAAAAAUGCACAUGCUGUGAGCUCGAUGAGUAGGGCGGGACACGUGGUAUCCUGUCUGAAUAUGGGGGGACCAUCCUCCAAGGCUAAAUACUCCUGACUGACCGAUAGUGAACCAGUACCGUGAGGGAAAGGC